Molecule: long non-coding RNA, 281 nt
Filed under: Elaeis guineensis (African oil palm)
Lineage: Eukaryota; Viridiplantae; Streptophyta; Magnoliopsida; Arecales; Arecaceae
Description: long non-coding RNA (EGUI_LNC032166)
Source: RNAcentral
UUUAUUCUACUAAGGAUGGAUAAAAUUUGAGAAAAAAUUAAUCUCCAAUAUUGAAGUCUAAGCCUUCCAAAAUUUAUUAAAGUAUAGAUCAUCUAUAGUGCAUGGACCGCAUCAUAGAAUACUAUACAAUCUCAUUGGCCAUCAUAAGAAAAUGGACAGCCAUCAAACAGGACAAUCCAUGAGUACAUACUGUAUUAUACUUGACACGUAUUGCUUGAUGGCCAUCCAACUUCUCAUAGAAGCCAUCAAGGGCCAUGCAGUACUCUGUGGUGUGGCUUGUG